GACGUAGGGGGCCAGCGUUGUUCGGAAUUACUGGGUGUAAAGGGUUCGUAGGCGGUGUGGCAAGUCGGGAGUGAAAUUUCUGGGCUCAACUCAGAGACUGCUUCCGAAACUGCUGAGCUUGAGUGUGGGAGAGGCGCGUGGAAUUGCAGGUGUAGCGGUGAAAUGCGUAGAUAUCUGCAGGAACACCCGUGGCGAAAGCGGCGCGCUGGACCACUACUGACGCUGAGGAACGAAGGCCAGGGGAGCAAACGGG
Molecule: ribosomal RNA, 253 nt
Filed under: uncultured bacterium
Lineage: Bacteria
Description: partial 16S ribosomal RNA
Rfam family: Bacterial small subunit ribosomal RNA
Source: RNAcentral